RNAcentral lists this ribosomal RNA (586 nucleotides) under uncultured bacterium. RNAcentral's name for it is "partial 16S ribosomal RNA". It matches the Rfam family "Bacterial small subunit ribosomal RNA", at positions 355 to 1375 of the family's 1533-position model. The record is from RNAcentral.
UGGGGAAUUUUGGACAAUGGGCGAAAGCCUGAUCCAGCAAUGCCGCGUGUGUGAAGAAGGCCUUCGGGUUGUAAAGCACUUUUGUCCGGAAAGAAAUCCUUGGCUCUAAUACAGUCGGGGGAUGACGGUACCGGAAGAAUAAGCACCGGCUAACUACGUGCCAGCAGCCGCGGUAAUACGUAGGGUGCAAGCGUUAAUCGGGAAUUACUGGGCGUAAAGCGUGCGCGGGCGGUUUGCUAAGACCGAUGUGAAAUCCCCGGGCUCAACCUGGGAACUGCAUUGGUGACUGGCAGGCUAGAGUAUGGCAGAGGGGGGUAGAAUUCCACGUGUAGCAGUGAAAUGCGUAGAGAUGUGGAGGAAUACCGAUGGCGAAGGCAGCCCCCUGGGCCAAUACUGACGCUCAUGCACGAAAGCGUGGGGAGCAAACAGGAUUAGAUACCCUGGUAGUCCACGCCCUAAACGAUGUCAACUAGUUGUUGGGGAUUCAUUUCCUUAGUAACGUAGCUAACGCGUGAAGUUGACCGCCUGGGGAGUACGGUCGCAAGAUUAAAACUCAAAUGAAUUGACGGGGUCAUAGCUGUUUCCU